GCCAGGUGUGGUGGUUCACACCUGUAAUCCCAGCUACUCGGGAGGCUGAGGCAGGAGAAUUGCUUGAACCCAGGAGGCAGAGGUUGCAGUGAGCUGAGAUGGCACCACUGCACUCCAGCCUGGGCAACAAAGCAAGACUCUGUCUUAA
Unclassified non-coding RNA from Pongo abelii (Sumatran orangutan), 148 nucleotides. It matches the Rfam family "Metazoan signal recognition particle RNA". From Rfam's summary of the family: The signal recognition particle (SRP) is a universally conserved ribonucleoprotein. NCBI's taxonomy places the organism in Eukaryota, Metazoa, Chordata, Mammalia, Primates, Hominidae. The record is from Ensembl.